CCAAUAGCGUAUAUUAAAGUUGUUGCAGUUAAAAAGCUCGUAGUUGAAUUUCGGAAUCAGUAUGUCGGUCGUGCCUCCGGUAUGUACUGGCGUCACUGGUUCCUCCCUUCUGACGAACCAUCAUGCUAUUAAUUUAGUGUGGUGGGAAAUCAGGACUGUUACUUUGAAAAAAUUAGAGGGUUUAAAGCAGGCUCACGCUUGAAUACAUUAGCAUGGAAUAAUGAAAUCGGACGUUGAUCCUAUUUUGUUGGUUUCUAGGAUUGACGUAAUGAUUAAUAGGGAUAGUUGGGGGCAUUAGUAUUCAAUUGUCAGAGGUGAAAUUCUUGGAUUUAUUGAAGACUAACUACUGCGAAAGCAUUUGCCAAGGAUGUUUUCAUUAAUCAAGAACGAAAGUUAGGGGAUCGAAGACGAUCAGAUACCGUCGUAGUCUUAACCAUAAACUAUGCCGACUAGGGAUCGGAUGAUGUUAAUUUUUUAAUGACUCAUUCGGCGCCUUACG
RNAcentral lists this ribosomal RNA (499 nucleotides) under uncultured Glomeromycotina. RNAcentral describes it as "partial small subunit ribosomal RNA". It matches the Rfam family "Eukaryotic small subunit ribosomal RNA", at positions 591 to 1092 of the family's 1831-position model. Lineage: Eukaryota; Fungi; Glomeromycota. The record is from RNAcentral.